This 128-nucleotide small nucleolar RNA is filed under the name Octodon degus (degu). RNAcentral describes it as "Small nucleolar RNA SNORA1 (ENSODEG00000020649.1)". It matches the Rfam family "Small nucleolar RNA SNORA1". From Rfam's summary of the family: ACA1 is a member of the H/ACA class of snoRNA that guide the sites of modification of uridines to pseudouridines. The record is from Rfam by way of RNAcentral. Lineage: Eukaryota; Metazoa; Chordata; Mammalia; Rodentia; Octodontidae.
AACGUGGUAAUUAGAUGGGCACUGUUGAUUGGUGUCCAGAAUUGGACAAUGUGGCUGAAAUUGAGACACAGAUCAUGCUUCCAUCGCAGAAAAUAUUUACAGUGGUGACAGUGAGGCCUGUAACAUUU